CCUACGGGAGGCAGCAGUAGGGAAUUUUCGGCAAUGGGGGCAACCCUGACCGAGCAACGCCGCGUGAACGACGAAGUACUUCGGUAUGUAAAGUUCUUUUAUCAGGGAAGAAUGGCUUACGGAAAAGUGAGCGUGACGGUACCUGAUGAAUAAGCCCCGGCCAACUAUGUGCCAGCAGCCGCGGUAAUACAUAGGGGGCAAGCGUUAUCCGGAAUUAUUGGGCGUAAAGGGUGCGUAGGUGGCCGUUUAAGUCUUUGGUGUAAGUGCAAGGCUCAACCUUGUGAUGCUAAAGAAACUGGAUGGCUUGAGUGUGGUAGAGGCAAGUGGAAUUCCAUGUGUAGCGGUAAAAUGCGUAAAUAUAUGGAGGAACACCGGUGGCGAAGGCGGCUUGCUGGGCCACAACUGACACUGAGGCACGAAAGCGUGGGGAGCAAACA
Molecule: ribosomal RNA, 437 nt
Filed under: uncultured bacterium
Lineage: Bacteria
Description: bacterial SSU rRNA
Rfam family: Bacterial small subunit ribosomal RNA
Source: RNAcentral